CAGUAUUAUCGGGGAGUUUGGCAAGUCGAUGCGUGCAAGCGCUCUGCUUCCGGCUCUAUCUGAUUCUACCCAUGUUUUUUGCGUACCUCUGUUUCCUCGGCAGGCUUGCCUGCCAGUAGGACAACCAUCAACCCAUUGUAAUAGCAGUCAGCGUCAGAAAAACCUAAUAAUUACAACUUUCAACAACGGAUCUCUUGGUUCU
This 202-nucleotide unclassified non-coding RNA is filed under the name rhizosphere metagenome. Its description in RNAcentral is "partial ribosomal RNA internal transcribed spacer region". The record is from RNAcentral.